CUGGCAGCUCAGUCACAGUGGUGGCCCAGGAGCAGCUAAGAAGCGGCACGAUUCCAGUGUAUUCUGAGGAAAGGACCAGUAGGAUUUGCUGGUGAAUUGGAUGUGGGAUGUGAGUGAAGGAGACGAGUCGAAGAGGACUCCAAGAUUUUUGGCCUCAACACUGGGCUGCAGCAAUCAACAGGACAGACCGUAGCUUUCUCUCCUGCAGCUUACCUCCGAGGCAGAACUGACAUGUAUUUUCUUGUUUGGUCUUCCUAACAGUCCUAAGGAGACAGCUGUGCCAGCUCUGGGGGGCCCGUCUCGCCUCCUGACCUCCUGGACAGUCAAUGAUUCCAGCCCAGAACAGAGACUCUUCUGUCGGCUGGAGCAACCUCUUCCCACUGAAAUACGGGGUGGCUCUCUGGCUUUCAGAAAUACUGCAGGAGCACCAGGGCCCCUUCUGCCAUCAGAGGACCCCAAACAUCAGAUUCAGAAUCACAAACUGGCUGACAAGGAAACAGUGAUGUCACCUGCCAAGGAUGCUGACUUCCAAACCCAGUCACCGUCCAGACGAACACUCCCUGCGUACGUCUCUGUCCACCUUCUGGGCAUCCUGCCCUGUGUCCAGGGAGGGGCCUUGGUGCCACCGGGGGAUUUGUGAGGGUGUGGGAAAUACAGCCCCGGGACGCCAGCGGGGCAGGCUGCUGCUGAUUGGGAGGAAAUAGUCAACAUUAAACGCUCACCUGAGUCCUUACGACGUGCCAGAUUUACGUAAGUCUUAAUCCUCACAACGACCCUGUGAAGCAGCUGCUGUAUUCCCACUUUUAGAUGGGGAAACUGAGGCGUAGAGAAAUUCAGGAAGAUUUCACAGGUGGGAAAGUGGGAAGACGACUCCUG
This 876-nucleotide long non-coding RNA is filed under the name Equus caballus (horse). RNAcentral describes it as "lncRNA (ENSECAG00000059730.1)". The record is from RNAcentral. Lineage: Eukaryota; Metazoa; Chordata; Mammalia; Perissodactyla; Equidae.